Molecule: microRNA, 21 nt
Filed under: Medicago truncatula (barrel medic)
Lineage: Eukaryota; Viridiplantae; Streptophyta; Magnoliopsida; Fabales; Fabaceae
Also listed under: 3 other names
Description: mtr-miR166e-5p
Gene: mtr-miR166e-5p
Source: miRBase by way of RNAcentral
GGAAUGUUGGCUGGCUCGAGG